GACGAACGCUGGCGGCGUGCUUAACACAUGCAAGUCGAACGGAAAGGCCCUGCUUUUGUGGGGUGCUCGAGUGGCGAACGGGUGAGUAACACGUGAGUAACCUGCCCUUGACUUUGGGAUAACUUCAGGAAACUGGGGCUAAUACCGGAUAGGAGCUCCUGCUGCAUGGUGGGGGUUGGAAAGUUUCGGCGGUUGGGGAUGGACUCGCGGCUUAUCAGCUUGUUGGUGGGGUAGUGGCUUACCAAGGCUUUGACGGGUAGCCGGCCUGAGAGGGUGACCGGCCACAUUGGGACUGAGAUACGGCCCAGACUCCUACGGGAGGCAGCAGUGGGGAAUAUUGCACAAUGGGCGGAAGCCUGAUGCAGCAACGCCGCGUGCGGGAUGACGGCCUUCGGGUUGUAAACCGCUUUCGCCUGUGACGAAGCGUGAGUGACGGUAAUGGGUAAAGAAGCACCGGCUAACUACGUGCCAGCAGCCGCGGUGAUACGUAGGGUGCGAGCGUUGUCCGGAUUUAUUGGGCGUAAAGGGCUCGUAGGUGGUUGAUCGCGUCGGAAGUGUAAUCUUGGGGCUUAACCCUGAGCGUGCUUUCGAUACGGGUUGACUUGAGGAAGGUAGGGGAGAAUGGAAUUCCUGGUGGAGCGGUGGAAUGCGCAGAUAUCAGGAGGAACACCAGUGGCGAAGGCGGUUCUCUGGGCCUUUCCUGACGCUGAGGAGCGAAAGCGUGGGGAGCGAACAGGCUUAGAUACCCUGGUAGUCCACGCUGUAAACGGUGGGUACUAGGUGUGGGGUCCAUUCCACGGGUUCCGUGCCGUAGCUAACGCUUUAAGUACCCCGCCUGGGGAGUACGGCCGCAAGGCUAAAACUCAAAGGAAUUGACGGGGCCCCGCACAAGCGGCGGAGCAUGCGGAUUAAUUCGAUGCAACGCGUAGAACCUUACCUGGGUUUGACAUGGAUCGGGAGUGCUCAGAGAUGGGUGUGCCUCUUUUGGGGUCGGUUCACAGGUGGUGCAUGGCUGUCGUCAGCUCGUGUCGUGAGAUGUUGGGUUAAGUCCCGCAACGAGCGCAACCCUUGUUCACUGUUGCCAGCACGUUAUGGUGGGGACUCAGUGGAGACCGCCGGGGUCAACUCGGAGGAAGGUGGGGAUGACGUCAAGUCAUCAUGCCCCUUAUGUCCAGGGCUUCACGCAUGCUACAAUGGCUGGUACAGAGAGUGGCGAGCCUGUGAGGGUGAGCGAAUCUCGGAAAGCCGGUCUCAGUUCGGAUUGGGGUCUGCAACUCGACCUCAUGAAGUCGGAGUCGCUAGUAAUCGCAGAUCAGCAACGCUGCGGUGAAUAACGUUCCCGGGGCU
Molecule: ribosomal RNA, 1347 nt
Filed under: uncultured bacterium
Lineage: Bacteria
Description: partial 16S ribosomal RNA
Rfam family: Bacterial small subunit ribosomal RNA
Source: RNAcentral